GACGAACGCUGGCGGCGUGCCUAAUACAUGCAAGUCGAACGAGAGCGACCGGUGCUUGCACUGGUCAAUCUAGUGGCGAACGGGUGAGUAACACGUGGGUAACCUGCCCAUCAGAGGGGGAUAACAUCCGGAAACGGAUGCUAAAACCGCAUAGGUCCUUUAACCGCAUGGUUGAAGGAGGAAAAGAGGCGCAAGCUUCUGCUGAUGGAUGGACCCGCGGUGCAUUAGCUAGUUGGUGAGGUAACGGCUCACCAAGGCCGUGAUGCAUAGCCGACCUGAGAGGGUGAUCGGCCACAUUAGGACUGAGACACGGCCCAGACUCCUACGGGAGGCAGCAGUAGGGAAUCUUCGGCAAUGGACGGAAGUCUGACCGAGCAACGCCGCGUGAGUGAAGAAGGUUUUCGGAUCGUAAAACUCUGUUGUUAAAGAAGAACAAGGAUGAGAGUAACUGCUCAUCCCCUGACGGUAUUUAACCAGAAAGCCACGGCUAACUACGUGCCAGCAGCCGCGGUAAUACGUAGGUGGCAAGCGUUGUCCGGAUUUAUUGGGCGUAAAGCGAGCGCAGGCGGUUCUUUAAGUCUGAUGUGAAAGCCCCCGGCUCAACCGGGGAGGGUCAUUGGAAACUGGAGAACUUGAGUGCAGAAGAGGAGAGUGGAAUUCCACGUGUAGCGGUGAAAUGCGUAGAUAUGUGGAGGAACACCAGUGGCGAAAGGCGACUCUCUGGUCUGUAACUGACGCUGAGGCUCGAAAGCGUGGGGAGCAAACAGG
This 768-nucleotide ribosomal RNA is filed under the name uncultured Carnobacterium sp. Its description in RNAcentral is "bacterial SSU rRNA". It matches the Rfam family "Bacterial small subunit ribosomal RNA", at positions 28 to 776 of the family's 1533-position model. The record is from RNAcentral. Lineage: Bacteria; Bacillati; Bacillota; Bacilli; Lactobacillales; Carnobacteriaceae.